This 460-nucleotide ribosomal RNA is filed under the name uncultured bacterium. RNAcentral describes it as "partial 16S ribosomal RNA". It matches the Rfam family "Bacterial small subunit ribosomal RNA", at positions 338 to 795 of the family's 1533-position model. The record is from RNAcentral.
CCUACGGGUGGCAGCAGUGAGGAAUAUUGGACAAUGGGCGCGAGCCUGAACCAGCCAAGUCGCGUGAAGGAAGAAGGUCCUUAGUAUUGUAAACUUCUUUUGUCGGGGAACAAAGGCGGAGACGCGUCUCCGGAUGAGUGUACCCGACGAAAAAGCAUCGGCUAACUCCGGGCCAGCAGCCGCGGUAAUACGGAGGAUGCGAGCGUUAUCCGGAUUUAUUGGGUUUAAAGGGUGCGUCGGCGGUCGGAUGAGUUAGAUGUGAAAUCCCGGGGCUGAACUUCGGAAUUGCCUCUGAUACUGGUCAGCUAGAGAGUAGUUGCGGUAGGCAGAAUGUAUGGUGUAGCGGUGAAAUGCUUAGAGAUCAGACAGAACACCGAUUGCGAAGGCAGCUUACCAAGCUACGUCUGACGUUGAGGUACGAAAGCGUGGGGAGCAAACAGGAUUAGAUACCCGAGUAGUC